CAGGGCUCCAACGGGAACAGCAAUGCGAGAAAAAUAAACUUCAUUUGGUUGGGUUCCACCUGAGAAAAUGUGCAACUAAUGAACAAAAUCUGAAGUCCCACUGGUGCUCUACAAACCUAAUUACAUGUCACCUAAUUGCUCUGAGAUACUCUGUGUUUGCCUAUGAAACACUGCGACUUCACAACUACUCUUUGGGUUGCUCUGAAAAGUCACCACCAUACACAAACUACUGUCGUUGUGAUAAAGGAAAAUUAGUAUGACUGCAAUCCACUCUGUGCUACUUCAACUGUGCCGGAUUUCACCCCUCCAUGUGCCCAACUGACUCAACAGUACUGAAUUUUGGCUAAAAUUGAACUGCUAACAGAAGGUAGCAAGGAACAGAUAGAGGAUCUUCUGCCCACCUCAAGAAGGACACGCUGUGCUGGCUUCAGGUAUUCAAUUCUGGCUCUCAACGCACCAAAGUACAGUGGAAAUUCCCUACCUAUUUUUUCUCAAAGAUGAGGGCAGUGCUUUAAGCCUUUAUGGACAUUUUUCACAAGAUUUCAACAGAAGAGUUUAUUCAGGGGAGAAGAUAUUCAUGAGCGUGUCCAAAUUCUUGCCUGAGAUUGCAACAAUGCAUUACAAAAACAAGGUCUCCGCUUCUGAGUGCCUCCACCUCACUGGGACAGAGCAGAGAAAUGAUUCAGCAGAAAGGCUCAAUCCAACAACUCAAUGGUAGGCACAACCCAAUCCAACAACUCAACGGUAGGCACAGCCCAAUCCAA
This 764-nucleotide long non-coding RNA is filed under the name Gallus gallus (chicken). Its description in RNAcentral is "long non-coding RNA NONGGAT001427". The record is from RNAcentral. Lineage: Eukaryota; Metazoa; Chordata; Aves; Galliformes; Phasianidae.